GCUUUCUCUUUUUCAUAUCUUGAGGUAGGAAUGUCUUGCUGAGGAGAAAAGUGUGGCUGCAACUGUGGUACCGGCUGCGGCGGGUGUGGAAUGUACCCUGACAUAGAGAAGACCACCGCUACAACCACCAUAGCUGGUGUUGCACCACCAGUGACUAUGUACUCAGAGGGGUCUGAGAAGAGCUCUGGAGCUGGAGGAGGCCAUGGUUGCAGCUGUAACCCAUGCAAGUGUAACCCAUGUAAUUGUUAAAAUGACUAAAAUGGGUUCCAAUUCCAAGCCCCAACCAAAGUACCCUUAUAUAUAUAGUUUGAUAUUAAAAUAAAAAUAAAUAAAUAAAUAAAAUUGGGGUUUGGGUUUUUAUGUAUGUGGAUUUUGGGGUUUUAAAUGCGAUAAAAUAAGACAGGCAUGGACGUGGUGUGUUCUUGUGAA
Molecule: non-coding RNA, 429 nt
Organism: Camellia sinensis
Lineage: Eukaryota; Viridiplantae; Streptophyta; Magnoliopsida; Ericales; Theaceae
Source: RefSeq, a predicted model, not a curated record